This 467-nucleotide ribosomal RNA is filed under the name uncultured bacterium. Its description in RNAcentral is "partial 16S ribosomal RNA". It matches the Rfam family "Bacterial small subunit ribosomal RNA", at positions 28 to 507 of the family's 1533-position model. The record is from RNAcentral.
GAUGAACGCUGGCGGCGUGCUUAACACAUGCAAGUCGAACGGAAAGGCUCCUGCUUGCAGGGGUACUCGAUUGGCGAACGGGUGAGUAACACGUGUGUGAUCUGCCCCGCACUUCGGGAUAAGCCUGGGAAACUGGGUCUAAUACCGGAUAGGACAGUGUUUUGGAUGCCAUUGUGGAAAGUUUUUUGGGUGUGGGGUGAGCUCGCGGCGUAUCGGCUUGUUGGUGGGGUAAUGGCCUACCAAGGCGUGGACGUGUAGCCGGCCUGUGAGGGUGUACGGCGGUCCUGGCUCCUACGGAAGGCCGCAGUGGCGAAGGGAGGACGAUGGGGGGAAGCUUGAACAAGCGACGCAAGGCGGGUGAAGAAGGGCCGCGGGGUGGAAGACGGCCUUCGGGUUGAAAAAUCAUUGCGCUAGGGACGAAGCGUUAUGUGACGGUACCUAAAGAAGAAGCACCGGCUAACUACGUG